Deltaproteobacteria bacterium is the source of this 37-nucleotide non-coding RNA. NCBI's taxonomy places the organism in Bacteria, Pseudomonadati, Myxococcota, Myxococcia. The record is from Rfam.
GUAGCACCCGCCCUGUGGGGCGGGCGAGGAUUGAAAC